GCCCCCGUAGCUCAGGGGAUAGAGCGCCGGCCUCCGGAGCCGGGUGCGCAGGUUCGAAUCCUGCCGGGGGCG
RNAcentral lists this transfer RNA (72 nucleotides) under Actinomycetota bacterium. Its description in RNAcentral is "tRNA-Arg". It matches the Rfam family "tRNA". From Rfam's summary of the family: Transfer RNA (tRNA) molecules are approximately 80 nucleotides in length. Their secondary structure includes four short double-helical elements and three loops (D, anti-codon, and T loops). Lineage: Bacteria; Bacillati; Actinomycetota. RNAcentral also lists the same sequence under 1 other name. The record is from RNAcentral.